Molecule: ribosomal RNA, 496 nt
Filed under: uncultured bacterium
Lineage: Bacteria
Description: partial 16S ribosomal RNA
Rfam family: Bacterial small subunit ribosomal RNA
Source: RNAcentral
ACGAACGCUGGCGGCGUGCCUAAUACAUGCAAGUAGAACGCUGAAGAGAGGAGCUUGCUCUUCUUGGAUGAGUUGCGAACGGGUGAGUAACGCGUAGGUAACCUGCCUUGUAGCGGGGGAUAACUAUUGGAAACGAUAGCUAAUACCGCAUAACAAUGGAUGACACAUGUCAUUUAUUUGAAAGGGGCAAUUGCUCCACUACAAGAUGGACCUGCGUUGUAUUAGCUAGUAGGUGAGGUAAUGGCUCACCUAGGCGACGAUACAUAGCCGACCUGAGAGGGUGAUCGGCCACACUGGGACUGAGACACGGCCCAGACUCCUACGGGAGGCAGCAGUAGGGAAUCUUCGGCAAUGGGGGCAACCCUGACCGAGCAACGCCGCGUGAGUGAAGAAGGUUUUCGGAUCGUAAAGUUCUGUUGUAAGUCAAGAACGGGUGUGAGAGUGGAAAGUUCACACUGUGACGGUAGCUUACCAGAAAGGGACGGCUAACUACGUG